CCCGGCAGGUUCCCCCACACACCCCGCGUCCCCGCGGGCGUUAGGGUCCCAGCCCGGCCGCGGGCUCCCCCGCCACAGCAGCUCCCUGCAGCAGGCCGGGCCUGAGUUCUGAGCCGGCGCUCGGCCGGGCGGGGCAGCUCCGUCUGCUGCCUUCGGCCGGGGGAGCCGUCGCGGGCUGCAGACCUGUGACCCCUCGGUCCCCAUCCCACCCCAGGCCCCUGUACCCUGCGGGGUGGCGGGGAUCCAUCAGGUCUGUCACUUCCUGCGCUGUCCCAGCCGGUGCAGGCCCGGGCCGCAGCCUUAUCUUCCGGGAGUCCUCUAAUCCGGGGUCCCCCUGGCCCAGAGCAAACGGGAGGAUCCCGAGGCAGGCGCUGCCCGGGUGAGGUUAGCGGGACCACGCUGCCCGGGACGCUGCCCGCGGCCGGGGACCGUCCUCCUCGCCCAGGCCCGACCCGGCCCCUUCUCUCCCAAGGCGCCUCCAGGCCCGAGUUCCUCCCCGCGGCCACCCGGGAAGGCGGCGAAGGCGCGGAAGACCUGGAGCGGGACAGCAGCGCGCUGAGUGUAACUGUCCCCUCCCCGCCCGGUCCUGUCCCCGGCCGCCCCUGCCCCCUGCUCCUCCCUCGCCCUCCCCUCCUCUCGGGAGCCCCCACGAGGACCUGGCCUAACCCAGGGAGCUGGGGCCUGGGCCCUCCCUCGUCCCUGUCACCUUGGCCACGCGCUGGCUUCUGGUCGGGUGGGGCUGGGGUCCCCGGGAGGCCUGGCCAGGCGGACCCGGACCCGGCCGGCUCUGAGCUGCGCCCCCCCCCCGCCGCCAGCUCUCGGGACUUUUCCAGUUGGAUGACAGCCCUGAAACGGGUUGCUCCAGAGCUGUGUCCCUGGAGACCGGGAGAGGAAGCACCGAGGGAGAGAAAGAACGUGCUGAGGGGGAAAGGGCACCGAGCAGCGCCGAGGAGGAGCAAGCGGGCAUCCAGCCCCCCACAGUGCUGACGAGGCCCUCAAGUCCCAGCGUCCCCUCUCCUGAGAACUGACCCUUGUCACCACCAUCGCUCCAGCCUGGCCAGGCUGCCCUGCCAUCCGCCUCCUAGGGCCAGGCUGCCGUGGUGCUGCAAUCGCGCCCUCCUUCCUCAAGCGGAAAACAGCCCACAGCUCAGCAGCCGUGGAUGUGCAGCCCCAGGAAGGGCCCGGGGAGCCCCCAGGACAGCCCACGGGCUUGUAGCUCCUGACCUUGGAGGGCCAGAUGUGCACUGUGGAGGCUCAGACGUGUGGCAGCAGCCCGGGCCUCUACCACAAGAUAUCAGUAACAAACCACGCCAUGUCCGCCUUCCCACCCCCAAACUGUGACAAUCAAAACCUGCCUUCAACCUGCCAAAGUCCCCUGCGGCUGGGCUGGGACCCACUCAGCCAGGCCAGGGAAUGCACAUGUGCUAUUGUUAGGCC
This 1437-nucleotide long non-coding RNA is filed under the name Heterocephalus glaber (naked mole-rat). RNAcentral describes it as "lncRNA (ENSHGLG00000042159.1)". Lineage: Eukaryota; Metazoa; Chordata; Mammalia; Rodentia; Bathyergidae. The record is from RNAcentral.